Molecule: long non-coding RNA, 1029 nt
Organism: Dalotia coriaria
Lineage: Eukaryota; Metazoa; Arthropoda; Insecta; Coleoptera; Staphylinidae
Exons: 9
Source: RefSeq, a predicted model, not a curated record
GGUAGUUUCGCGCCGGUCGUUGCUCCAUGCACGCGUGUUUCGUGCGGUUAGAAUAAUUUUUCAUGUUUUUAUUCGAUAAAUUGCGUUAUAUUUGUUCGACAAUUAACUAUGUAUUAGCCGGUCAUUAGUAUGUACGAGUAUAGUAUAAUGUAAUCUUUAAUCGCGCGUUGAAUGUUCCUAAGUGCUAGUUUCUUUUGUAUGCGUUCGCGGUUGUGAUGUUAUCGUUCGCCAUUGUGUUUGAUCGCAGUUCGAUGAGCUAACACAGCGGAUUGCGGGUUGUUCGAUGUCGGUCGUUGAGUGAAUUGAACAUUUGUCGCAGCCAUGUUGAUUGUUUACAUUAGAAAGACUCUUUGCGCUUGGUAUUUGCCAUGCCUUGGGGCCUGACUGGCAAUGGACUUUUUUUCUGGUUCUAGGAAUUUUGCACUUGAGUCUGACAUUGUAGAUGGACCAUUCUUGCAUCAGAUUUGAUUUUGCACCUGAGUCUGACACCGUAGAAGGACCAUUCUUGCAUCAAAUUUGAUUUUGCACCUGAGUCUGACACCGUAGAAGGACCAUUCUUACAUCAAAUUUGAUUCUGCACCUGAGUCUGACACCGCAGAAGGACCAUUCUUGCAUCAGAUUUGAUUUUGCACCUGAGUCUGACACCGUAGAAGGACCAUUCUUACAUCAGAUUUUGCAUUUUUAUGGUCGAAGGACUAAUUUUUGACGGUUUUGGUGAUUUUGCACCUGAGUCUGACACCGUACAAGGACCAUUCUUGCAUCAGAUUGAAUUUUGCACCUGAGUUUGACACCGUAGAAGGACCGACCAUUCUCGCAUGAGAAUGUAAGAAUUUAAUUUUUAUUUUCAACAUUCCUAAUUAGAAGAUUAAAUCGUAAUUACCUCGACAACUAAAAAUUCUCUACAAGAUGGCAUCUUUAUUAAAAAAUGAUGAAAAUUGCACAAAAAAAAUUUUAACGAAAGAUUUUGUUAUAAAAAAGGCAAAAGAUUUCUCUUCUUAAUGCUCGAAAUUAUAAGUUGGAAUUUUUUAA